GAUGAACGCUGGCGGCGUGCCUAAUACAUGCAAGUAGAACGCUGAAGGAAGGAGCUUGCUCUUUCCGGAUGAGUUGCGAACGGGUGAGUAACGCGUAGGUAACCUGCCUGGUAGCGGGGGAUAACUAUUGGAAACGAUAGCUAAUACCGCAUAACAGUAGAUGUUGCAUGAUAUCUACUUAAAAGGUGCAAUUGCACCACUACCAGAUGGACCUGCGUUGUAUUAGCUAGUUGGUGAGGUAACGGCUCACCAAGGCGACGAUACAUAGCCGACCUGAGAGGGUGAACGGCCACACUGGGACUGAGACACGGCCCAGACUCCUACGGGAGGCAGCAGUAGGGAAUCUUCGGCAAUGGACGGAAGUCUGACCGAGCAACGCCGCGUGAGGGAAGGAGGGUGUCGGAUCGUAAAGCUCUGUUGUAAGAGAAGAACGAGUGUGAGAGUGGAAAGUUCACACUGUGACGGUAUCUAACCAGAAAGGAACGGCUAACUACGUG
RNAcentral lists this ribosomal RNA (497 nucleotides) under uncultured bacterium. RNAcentral's name for it is "partial 16S ribosomal RNA". It matches the Rfam family "Bacterial small subunit ribosomal RNA", at positions 28 to 507 of the family's 1533-position model. The record is from RNAcentral.